This is a long non-coding RNA of Chenopodium quinoa (quinoa), 1739 nucleotides long. RefSeq lists it as uncharacterized. NCBI's taxonomy places the organism in Eukaryota, Viridiplantae, Streptophyta, Magnoliopsida, Caryophyllales, Amaranthaceae. The transcript has 4 exons. The record is from RefSeq and is a predicted model, not a curated record.
AAAGUAAAAUCGGAUCUAGUACUGCUUUAGCUCUUUAAAAUCUGUUACAAGUUAAUAUGCUCAAUAUAUUAUUGCUAGAGGGCCUUACAGUUGGUAAUUGGAAUCUUUUAUUAAUGGUUAUUUUUGUAGAACUUUGUAUAGGCACUAUGAUUCAGUAAAGAAUUUGUCCUUCUUCUCUUAAUUUUUUUUUUAUUUUGGAAACAAUCCCACCUUUGACCCUCAUCUACUCAAAACGAUCAUUUUUACCCACAAUCUGUUUAACAAGUUAUUAUUUUUUUUAUUAUUUCUUAAAUCUUUUUCCUCUUACCUCUCCCCUCCCCAACCCCUUCAAUGGCAACCACACCAUAACCACCACCACAAUGACCUGACCUCCACCCAAAACCCUAAUCCCAUAUGACCUCCACCCUAAAUUCCUAUCCUUACCCCCUCUCACCAAACCACCAAACCCUUGACCCCCACCAAACCAUACUUGAACCUCCCACCUAACCCUGAAACCGUCUAAACCCUAUCAACCUAACCACCCAUGAAAUUAACUUAAAAAAAACACCCACAAAAUCGCGUAACUCAUCCACCCCAGCCACCCUGAAAACUCCUUAACUCGACCACCCUAGCAACUCCUUAACUCAACCACCCACAAAACUCCCUAAGCCCGAGAUACCCAAUCACGCACCCUAAACGUGGUUGCUCUGGUUGUUGUUUGACGGGAGGGGGUGAUGUUCAAUGGGGAAGGGAGAAGGUCUGCUUCAGCGGUAGGCAUGGGGUGGGCCCGGGACUGGGAAGUGGGAAUCAGACGAGAAGGGGCUUUUUUUGUAAUUAGUUUUAUUUUUUGUUUUUUAAUUAUAAAAAAAUAGGACCAAUUAGAAAAUGACACAUGACAAGUCACCUUUAAAAAUCGAUUACCAACCUAACAAACUGGUCUAGUAAUUAUUUUGAGGUGAUAGGGACAAAGGUGAGAUUAUUUACAGAUUACUCAAAAAUGAGAUUGUUUUGAGAAGUAACAAAUGUGGGAUUAAUCAUUUUAGUUUUUCCUUUAAAAAACACUACUAGUUUAAGAAAGUAGUGAAUAUUGCAUUAAAAAAAAUAAAAAAUAAAAAAAAAAAACUGAAUAGAAUCGAAAAAACACCCUUCCUAGCAAUGGACUAAUGUCUAAGUGACACGUAAUGAUUGAAAAGCACAUGCCAAAGUAAAUGGGUUUUGUUCUCUUUUGUAGGUGCUUCUAUUUAUGGGCUACACUAACCUCAAGCUUUAGUGCUUUACAUUCCAGUAUUCCACCAAUAUCUACACUUUUGUUUUUCUCUCAACAAUGACCAAAUCAGUUUUUGCUGUUUUUCUCUUGGCUCUCGUCUCCUUUGCCUUGUUGCAAAAUUUGGUCUUGGCCACUAAUGCAAAGAACCACGUCAACAAGGGUUCAUAUGGCCCGGGGAGUGUGAAAAGCACUCAAUGCCCUUCACAUUGCACAAGAAGGUGUAGCAAGACUCAAUAUCACAAGCCAUGCAUGUUCUUUUGUUAGAAGUGUUGCAGGAAAUGCUUGUGUGUGCCUCCGGGGUAUUAUGGGAAUUAAAGUGUAUGCCCUUGUUACAACAAUUGGAAGACCAAAAGAGGAGGUCCAAAAUGCCCAUAAUUUCAUGAUACAUCACUAUUGUACUCAUCUAUUAUAAUUAUAUUAUGCUCCUUUAUUCUCAUCUUUAUGAUGAUUUAUUUAUCGUAUUAAAGAGUUUAUCUAGUACGGAGUACUCCGA